RNAcentral lists this ribosomal RNA (232 nucleotides) under uncultured bacterium. RNAcentral's name for it is "partial 16S ribosomal RNA". It matches the Rfam family "Bacterial small subunit ribosomal RNA", at positions 118 to 350 of the family's 1533-position model. The record is from RNAcentral.
UGGGUAACCUGCCCCUCUCUCUGGGAUAACCCCGGGAAACCGGAGCUAAUACCGGAUACUCCGGCUGGAUCGCAUGGUCCGGCCGGGAAAGGUCCGCCGGAGAGGGAUGGGCCCGCGGCCUAUCAGCUUGUUGGUGGGGUCAUGGCUCACCAAGGCGACGACGGGUAGCUGGUCUGAGAGGACGACCAGCCACACUGGAACUGAGAUACGGUCCAGACUCCUACGUGAGGCA